RNAcentral lists this ribosomal RNA (261 nucleotides) under uncultured Glomus. RNAcentral's name for it is "partial 18S ribosomal RNA". It matches the Rfam family "Eukaryotic small subunit ribosomal RNA", at positions 624 to 887 of the family's 1831-position model. The record is from RNAcentral. Lineage: Eukaryota; Fungi; Glomeromycota; Glomeromycetes; Glomerales; Glomeraceae.
AAGCUCGUAGUUGAAUUUCGGGAUUAGUACGUCGGUCGUGCCUUAGGUACGUACUGGUAUUACUGGUUCCUACCUUCUGACGAACCAUCAUGUCAUUAAUUUGGUGUGGUGGGGAAUCAGGACUGUUACUUUGAAAAAAACUUAGAGUGUUUAAAAGCAGGCUCGCGCUUGAAUACAUUAGCAUGGAAUAAUGAAAUAGGACGUUGAUCCUAUUUUGUUGGUUUCUAGGAUUGACGUAAUGAUUAAUAGGGAUAGUUGGGU